AGAGUUUGAUCCUGGCUCAGAACGAACGCUGGCGGCGUGCUUAACACAUGCAAGUCGAACGUGAUCAGGCCUUCGGGCCUGUGAAAGUGGCGCACGGGUGAGUAACACGUGGAUAAUCUACCCGAUGAUCCGGGAUAACAUUCCGAAAGGAGUGCUAAUACCGGAUAAGCCCACAAGCUCUUCGGAGCUUGCGGGAAAAGGGGGGGACCUUGACCGGCCUCCUGUCAUCGGAUGAGUCCGCGGCCCAUUAGCUAGUUGGUAGGGUAAUGGCCUACCAAGGCUACGAUGGGUAGCUGGUCUGAGAGGAUGAUCAGCCACGCUGGAACUGAGACACGGUCCAGACUCCUACGGGAGGCAGCAGUGGGGAAUUUUGCGCAAUGGGGGAAACCCUGACGCAGCAACGCCGCGUGAGUGAUGAAGGCUUUCGGGUCGUAAAGCUCUGUCAGAGGGGAAGAAAUGAGACUGGCUAAUAUCCAGUUUUCUUGACGGUACCCUCAAAGGAAGCACCGGCUAACUCCGUGCCAGCAGCCGCGGUAA
This 537-nucleotide ribosomal RNA is filed under the name uncultured bacterium. RNAcentral's name for it is "bacterial SSU rRNA". It matches the Rfam family "Bacterial small subunit ribosomal RNA", at positions 8 to 523 of the family's 1533-position model. The record is from RNAcentral.